Molecule: ribosomal RNA, 1519 nt
Filed under: Bacillus sp. (in: firmicutes)
Lineage: Bacteria; Bacillati; Bacillota; Bacilli; Caryophanales; Bacillaceae
Description: bacterial SSU rRNA
Rfam family: Bacterial small subunit ribosomal RNA
Source: RNAcentral
CGGCAGCAGAGAGUGUGGUAUCUGCUCAGGAUGAUCGCUGCGGCGUGCUAUACAUGCAGUCGAGCGACUGAUUAGAAGCUGCUCUAUGACGUAGCGGCGGACGGGUGAGUAACACGUGGGCAACCUGCCUGUAAGACUGGGAUAACUUCGGGAAACCGAAGCUAAUACUGGAUAGGAUCUUCUCGUUCAUGGGAGAUGAUUGAAAGAUGGUUUCGGCUAUCACUUACAGAUGGGCCCGCGGUGCAUAGCUAGUUGGUGAGGUAACGGCUCACCAAGGCAACGAUGCAUAGCCGACCUGAGAGGGUGAUCGGCCACACUGGGACUGAGACACGGCCCAGACUCCUACGGGAGGCAGCAGUAGGGAAUCUUCCGCAAUGGACGAAAGUCUGACGGAGCAACGCCGCGUGAGUGAUGAAGGCUUUCGGGUCGUAAAACUCUGUUGUUAGGGAAGAACAAGUACGAGAGUAACUGCUCGUACCUUGACGGUACCUAACCAGAAAGCCACGGCUAACUACGUGCCAGCAGCCGCGGUAAUACGUAGGUGGCAAGCGUUAUCCGGAAUUAUUGGGCGUAAAGCGCGCGCAGGCGGUUUCUUAAGUCUGAUGUGAAAGCCCACGGCUCAACCGUGGAGGGUCAUUGGAAACUGGGGAACUUGAGUGCAGAAGAGAAAAGCGGAAUUCCACGUGUAGCGGUGAAAUGCGUAGAGAUGUGGAGGAACACCAGUGGCGAAGGCGGCUUUUUGGUCUGUAACUGACGCUGAGGCGCGAAAGCGUGGGGAGCAAACAGGAUUAGAUACCCUGGUAGUCCACGCCGUAAACGAUGAGUGCUAAGUGUUAGAGGGUUUCCGCCCUUUAGUGCUGCAGCUAACGCAUUAAGCACUCCGCCUGGGGAGUACGGUCGCAAGACUGAAACUCAAAGGAAUUGACGGGGGCCCGCACAAGCGGUGGAGCAUGUGGUUUAAUUCGAAGCAACGCGAAGAACCUUACCAGGUCUUGACAUCCUCUGACAACUCUAGAGAUAGAGCGUUCCCCUUCGGGGGACAGAGUGACAGGUGGUGCAUGGUUGUCGUCAGCUCGUGUCGUGAGAUGUUGGGUUAAGUCCCGCAACGAGCGCAACCCUUGAUCUUAGUUGCCAGCAUUUAGUUGGGCACUCUAAGGUGACUGCCGGUGACAAACCGGAAGAAAGUGGGGAUGACGUCCAAUCAUCAUGCCCCUUAUGACCUGGGCUACACACGUGCUACAAUGGAAGGUACAAAGGGCUGCAAGACCGCGGGGUCAAGCCCAUCCCAUAAAAACAUUCUCAGUUCGGAAUGUAAGCCGCAACUCGCCUACCUGAAACUGGAAUCGCUUGUAAUCGCGGAUCAAGAAGCCGCGGUGAAAACCUUCCCGGGCCUUGUACACACCGCCCCGCACACCACGAGAGUUUGGUACACCCGAAAUCCGUGGAGUAACCGUAAUGAGCUAGCCCCCCAAAGGGGGACAAAAGAAUGGGGGUGAAAUCCGUACAGGGGGAACCCUUA